AAAAUACAGACCUAUCCGCUAGCAGUGACAGUUUAUCUGACAACAAUAGCUCUUCUAAGGAGAAAACCAGCAUGCUGGGGGGAAUAUUGAGACGGUCACCCAAACCGGGUCAUGAGCGUAGGCCUUCACAGGAUCAUUUGGAUACAGAGCUGUCAGCCAGCAAUGACAGUCUGCCAGACAAUAACAACUCUAAGG
This is a long non-coding RNA of Lampris incognitus (smalleye Pacific opah), 195 nucleotides long. RefSeq lists it as uncharacterized. The transcript is spliced from 3 exons. The record is from RefSeq and is a predicted model, not a curated record. Lineage: Eukaryota; Metazoa; Chordata; Actinopteri; Lampriformes; Lampridae.